Molecule: non-coding RNA, 647 nt
Organism: Chiloscyllium plagiosum (whitespotted bambooshark)
Lineage: Eukaryota; Metazoa; Chordata; Chondrichthyes; Orectolobiformes; Hemiscylliidae
Source: RefSeq, a predicted model, not a curated record
GAGUCCUGGAUUGAAUGGCCUGCCUCUCUCCUCGAAAACCUGUGUGCAUUUCCAACUGAAGCUCGAUUUUGGAGAUGUCCCCUGCCCGGGUGCUGAAUGAGGGGGGAGGGUUUACAGUGGGAGGGAAUCAUUGAAAACCAUUCAGGUAUCAGAAUGUGUGCUCUGGAAGCUGAAAUCCUGUUCCCUCUAUUUCAGACUCAGCGGAGAAUGAGAGUGAGCCUGAUAUUAAAGGAUCGGAUGAGAUUGCAAAGUGGAACAGAAACAACCACAAUUCCAAUUCCGAUGAAAGCAGUGAAAGGAAAAUCAAAGUGAUUGCUUCAGGACGAGAUGAUGGUUUGUAGAUCUCUCUGUGUGGGACAUUAUUGACUGGGCUAAUAUAUGGGAGCUGGGUCCAUGAGGAUUAACAAGCUCUUUAUUGAAAUGAUUCAAAUACACGUGGAGGCAGGGGACAAGGAGCAGGAUGGAGAGCAAGCUGGUUACGAAGCACAGUGUGUGGCUUAAAGCACAUUACUCAGACUGGGAUGAGUGUGGGGAGUGGUGUUCAAUUGGGAUCAUUGCUUGGGAUCACUGUUGGUCACCAUUUACAGAAACAACUUGGACUGGGGAAUCUGAAAGACAAUUUCAAAACCUGUUGAUGACACAAAACU